Molecule: long non-coding RNA, 455 nt
Organism: Pygocentrus nattereri (red-bellied piranha)
Lineage: Eukaryota; Metazoa; Chordata; Actinopteri; Characiformes; Serrasalmidae
Exons: 3
Source: RefSeq, a predicted model, not a curated record
CAUGUGGGCUGUGUUUGAAAUAGUUUGUUUUUAGGUAUUUUACUGGUACUAUUUUGCAAGAGGUUGACCGUUUUUACCACCGGGAGGUUCAAACAGAUGUUCUAGACGCAAGCGUCUGAAGAACGAUCCUCCACAGACAGUUGUUAAUGACGAUGCUGAGGAUGAGGUCCACCUAUCAGCAGUGCUUUAAUUGAAGCACACCUACAGAGUCCAGCCUUUUCACCAGGCUGACAGCGGUUUACAUCAUUGGCUGGACGUUUUCAUUAGAGGACAGAUGGACGGUUCCUUUAUUGAUGCCGCUGGCUGCCCUCCAGAUUGGAUCUGCUCAGUCUCUGACCUGGAAGUUGGGCACAGUCGGUCUGGUCCGAUGUCUUCAUGCAGUAAGGGCACAUUGGGGGCGCUAGUGAGCAGCACUGCAAGCACAGAAACAGAACCGGGACACUGUAGGCGCCCAG